Molecule: ribosomal RNA, 468 nt
Filed under: uncultured bacterium
Lineage: Bacteria
Description: partial 16S ribosomal RNA
Rfam family: Bacterial small subunit ribosomal RNA
Source: RNAcentral
GACGAACGCUGGCGGCGUGCUUAACACAUGCAAGUCGAACGGAAAGGCCCUGCUUUUGUGGGGUGCUCGAGUGGCGAACGGGUGAGUAACACGCGAGUAACCUGCCCUUGACUUUGGGAUAACUUCAGGAAACUGGGGCUAAUACCGGAUAGGAGCUCCUGCCGCAUGGUGGGGGUUGGAAAGUUUCGGCGGUUGGGGAUGGACUCGCGGCCUAUCAGCUUGUUGGUGGGGUAGUGGCUUACCAAGGCUUUGACGGGUAGCCGGCCUGAGAGGGUGACCGGCCACAUUGGGACUGAGAUACGGCCCAGACUCCUACGGGAGGCAGCAGUGGGGAAUAUUGCACAAUGGGCGGAAGCCUGAUGCAGCGACGCCGCGUGCGGGAUGACGGCCUUCGGGUUGUAAACCGCUUUCGCCUGUGACGAAGCGUGAGUGACGGUAAUGGGUAAAGAAGCACCGGCUAACUACGUG